RNAcentral lists this ribosomal RNA (498 nucleotides) under uncultured bacterium. RNAcentral's name for it is "bacterial SSU rRNA". It matches the Rfam family "Bacterial small subunit ribosomal RNA", at positions 791 to 1288 of the family's 1533-position model. The record is from RNAcentral.
UAGUCCACGCCGUAAACGAUGUAUGCUAGCUGUCAGGCAGUUUACUGUUUGGUGGCGCAGCUAACGCAAUAAGCAUUCCGCCUGGGGAGUACGGUCGCAAGAUUAAAACUCAAAGGAAUUGACGGGGACCCGCACAAGCGGUGGAGCAUGUGGUUUAAUUCGAGGCAACGCGAAGGACCUUACCAGCCCUUGACAUACUGGUCGCGGAUUUCAGAGAUGAUUUCCUUCAGCUUGGCUGGACCAUGUACAGGUGCUGCACGGCUGUCGUCAGCUCGUGUCGUGAGAUGUUGGGUUAAGUCCCGCAACGAGCGCAACCCUCAUCCUUAGUUGCUAACAUUUAGUUGAGAACUCUAAGGAGACUGCCGGUGAUAAACCGGAGGAAGGUGGGGAUGACGUCAAGUCUUCAUGGCCCUUAUGGGCUGGGCUACACACGUGCUACAAUGGCGAUGACAAAGGGCAGCGACUCCGCGAGGAGAAGCUAAUCUCUAAAAGUCGUCU